This 373-nucleotide ribosomal RNA is filed under the name uncultured bacterium. RNAcentral describes it as "bacterial SSU rRNA". It matches the Rfam family "Bacterial small subunit ribosomal RNA", at positions 525 to 896 of the family's 1533-position model. The record is from RNAcentral.
ACGUAGGUUGCAAGCGUUAUCCGGAAUUAUUGGGCGUAAAGAGUUCGUAGGUGGUUAGUUAAGUUGGAUGUCAAAGCCUUGAGCUCAACUCAAGACAGGUAUCCAAAACUGGCAAACUAGAGACAGGCAGAGGCAAGUGGAAUUCUGUAUGUAGGGGUAAUAUCCGUAGAUAUACAGAGGAACACCAAAAGCGAAGGCAGCUUGCUGGGCCUGUUCUGACACUCAAGAACGAAAGCGUGGGGAGCAAACGGGAUUAGAUACCCCGGUAGUCCACGCCCUAAACGAUGAUCACUAGGUGUUGGAGGUCUCGACCCCUCCAGUGCCGUCGCUAACGCAUUAAGUGAUCCGCCUGGGUAGUACGGCCGCAAGGUUA